GGAUCCUUGUGUCUGGGUCAUGUGGCCAUGU
RNAcentral lists this non-coding RNA (31 nucleotides) under Rattus norvegicus (Norway rat). The record is from RNAcentral. Lineage: Eukaryota; Metazoa; Chordata; Mammalia; Rodentia; Muridae.